UCGAGGGGCAGCAUUUUAGUUUGCUUGCAAACCUAAAGAUGGCGAGCGGCGCACGGGUGAGUAACACGUAUCCAACCUGCCGAUAACUCGGGGAUAGCCUUUCGAAAGAAAGAUUAAUAUCCGAUGGUAUAUUAAAACCGCAUGGUUUUACUAUUAAAGAAUUUCGGUUAUCGAUGGGGAUGCGUUCCAUUAGUUUGUUGGCGGGGUAACGGCCCACCAAGACUACGAUGGAUAGGGGUUCUGAGAGGAAGGUCCCCCACAUUGGAACUGAGACACGGUCCAAACUCCUACGGGAGGCAGCAGUGAGGAAUAUUGGUCAAUGGACGAGAGUCUGAACCAGCCAAGUAGCGUGAAGGAUGACUGCCCUAUGGGUUGUAAACUUCUUUUAUAUGGGAAUAAAGUAUUCCACGUGUGGGAUUUUGUAUGUACCAUAUGAAUAAGGAUCGGCUAACUCCGUGGCCAGCAGCCCGCGGUAAUACCGGAGGAUCCGAGCGUUAUCCGGAUUUAUUGGGUUUAAAGGGAGCGUAGGUGGAUUGUUAAGUCAGUUGUGAAAGUUUGCGGCUCAACCGUAAAAUUGCAGUUGAAACUGGCAGUCUUGAGUACAGUAGAGGUGGGCGGGAAUUCGUGGUGUAGCGGUGA
This 639-nucleotide ribosomal RNA is filed under the name uncultured Bacteroidales bacterium. Its description in RNAcentral is "bacterial SSU rRNA". It matches the Rfam family "Bacterial small subunit ribosomal RNA", at positions 62 to 684 of the family's 1533-position model. Lineage: Bacteria; Pseudomonadati; Bacteroidota; Bacteroidia; Bacteroidales. The record is from RNAcentral.